AGGGAUAUCGCCAAGCGGUAAGGCAGCGGCUUUUGAUGCCGCCAUUCGUAGGUUCAAAUCCUGCUAUCCCUGCCA
This 75-nucleotide transfer RNA is filed under the name Alginatibacterium sediminis. RNAcentral's name for it is "Alteromonadaceae bacterium ALS 81 tRNA-Gln". It matches the Rfam family "tRNA". From Rfam's summary of the family: Transfer RNA (tRNA) molecules are approximately 80 nucleotides in length. The record is from RNAcentral. Lineage: Bacteria; Pseudomonadati; Pseudomonadota; Gammaproteobacteria; Alteromonadales; Alteromonadaceae.